AAACGACUCUCGGCAACGGAUAUCUCGGCUCUCGCAUCGAUGAAGAACGUAGCGAAAUGCGAUACUUGGUGCGAAUUGCAGAAUCCCGUGAACCAUCGAGUCUUUGAACGCAAGUUGCGCCCCAAGCCUUCUGGCCGAGGGCACGUCUGCCUGGGUGUCACAA
RNAcentral lists this ribosomal RNA (163 nucleotides) under Brassica carinata (Ethiopian mustard). Its description in RNAcentral is "5.8S ribosomal RNA". It matches the Rfam family "5.8S ribosomal RNA". From Rfam's summary of the family: 5.8S ribosomal RNA (5.8S rRNA) is a component of the large subunit of the eukaryotic ribosome. It is transcribed by RNA polymerase I as part of the 45S precursor that also contains 18S and 28S rRNA. The record is from RNAcentral. Lineage: Eukaryota; Viridiplantae; Streptophyta; Magnoliopsida; Brassicales; Brassicaceae.